Molecule: long non-coding RNA, 2856 nt
Filed under: Haliotis rufescens (red abalone)
Lineage: Eukaryota; Metazoa; Mollusca; Gastropoda; Lepetellida; Haliotidae
Description: uncharacterized LOC124129238
Rfam family: Small nucleolar RNA U54 (bases 255-322)
Source: RNAcentral
AUAUCGCCGGGGGCGCUUAUUAUGUCGAAUAUGGUAAUUAUCAAACCAUACAGUACACUACACAAUUUCUUAUCUUUACAAGACCCUCAUAUUGCCUGCAAGGACCCUUAGAAUAUUAUAAUUAUUUGAGGGUCCCCAGGACCCUUUAUUUUUUAAGCCAAAUAAAACCCUGGAUACCAUUAUGCCCAUUGACUGUGUUAUUCAGUUCAAUCAGGCUGCGAAUGUAUUUGAUAUUGAAGUUUGCAUAAAGGGAUGGGCAAUGAGGAUACUAUUAUCAGGAAUGAACAAUGUCUGUAAAUAUAUACGCUAUUCUGAGCCCUUUGCCACUAUGCAACAAUAAUUAUUCUCUUAUUUCAUUGAUCACUGCAAAAACAACCUGUAUGAAAAUGUAUAUGAACAAUGAAGAAGUGAUUAUUUUGUUUCUGGAAAAGCAAUAACUCAGUGCUACACCAUCAUAACCCAAACCUUUGUAUGUGCCUCGUAUUAAACUAAAACAAGUGCAAUUUGCUCUAAAUACAGUAUUGAUCAUGGAUACUGUAUUAACCCCUUUUAAUCAUUGUCAAUCAUGUAGGAAUAACAAGGAUUGUCAAAUGACGUCCAUGUUGAUCUUUGUGCUUCUAUGACAUUAGUUGUGUAACUGAAGCAAGUUGGUAGGCUCACUGUCAAUUUGAAGAAUCUACAGAAUUAGAUGUUGUGCAACUGUUAUGAAGAACAUAAAGCUGGCUGUCAUGAUGUUUGGAUUUUUUAUGUGGUGAAUAAGGGCAAUGAGGAUACUAUUUUCAGGAAUUAACUGUCUGUAAAUAUAUACGCUAUUCUGAGCCCUGUCUGUGACCAUUCAGCAAUAAUAGGUCAUCUAAUUACAUGGUCAUUGUCAAAUAGAACCCCCUUUUUAAGCAUAUGAUAAUGUUAUAUUUUACUGGUAUAUGUCAAGGUCACUGGAUAGCAAAAGCUAAUGAAACUUUCUGAAAAAGAGUAUGCUUUUAUCACCAAACUAUGUUCUCAACAGGAAUCAAUGUGUCAAACUUAUCUCAUCGAUGUAAUAAUAUUAAUCCCUUUUAAUCAGUGGUAAUCACUGUUGAAAUAUGAGGAUUUUGUCCGGAUUUUAUACAUCCUGAUGAAGGCUAGUUGUCAUUUUGUUUGUAAUUUACAUGUGGCAAGGGCAAUGAGGAUACUAUUUUCAGGAAUGAACAAUGUCUGUAAAUAUAUACGCUAUUCUGAGCCCUUUGCCACUAUGCAACAAUAAUUAUUCUCUUAUUUCAUUGAUCACUGCAAAAACAACCUGUAUGAAAAUGUAUAUGAACAAUGAAGAAGUGAUUAUUUUGUUUCUGGAAAAGCAAUAACUCAGUGCUACACCAUCAUAACCCAAACCUUUGUAUGUGCCUCUUAUUAAACUAAAACGAGUGCAAUUUGCUCUAAAUACAGUAUUGAUCAUGGAUACUGUAUUAACCCCUUUUAAUCAAUGUCAAUCAUGUAGGAAUAACAAGGAUUGUCACAUGACGUCCAUGUUGAUCUUUGUGCUUCUAUGACAUUAGUUGUGUAACUGAAGCAAGCUGGUAGGCUCACUGUCAAUUUGAAGAAUCUACAGAAUUAGAUGUUGUGCAACUGUUAUGAAGAACGUAAAGCUGGCUGUCAUGAUGUUUGGAUUUUUUAUGUGGUGUGCAAGGGCAAUGAGGAUACUAUUUUCAGGAAUUAACUGUCUGUAAAUAUAUACGCUAUUCUGAGCCCCGUCUGUCACUAUUCAGCAAUAAUAGGUCAUCUAAUUUACAUGGUCAUUGUCAAAUAGAACCCCCUUUUUAAGCAUAUGAUAAUGUUAUAUUUUACUGGUUAUAUGUCAAGGUCACUGGAUAGCAAAAGCUGAUGAAACUUUCUGAAAAAGAGUAUGCUUUUAUCACCAAACUAUGUUCUCAACAGGAAUCAAUGUGUCAAACUUAUCUCAUCGAUGUAAUAUUAUUAAUCCCUUUUACUCAAUGGUAAUCACACUUGAAAUAUGAGGUUUUUGUCUGGAUUAUGUACAUCCUGAUGAAGGCUAGUUGUCAUUUUGUUUGUAAUUUACAUGUGGCAAGGGCAAUGAGGAUACUAUUUUCAGGAAUUAACAAUGUCUGUAAAUAUAUACGCUAUUCUGAGCCCCUUGCCACUUUUUGCCAAUAAUUCUCUAAUUUCAUAGAUCACUGCAGAAACAACCAGUAUGACUGACAUUAACUUUCAGAGAUCUAUCAAGGGGAUUUGGUGCUAUGAUGCUUAUUGACUGAAGCAAACUGGUAGAUUCACCAUCAUUUUGAAAAAUCUACUUAAUUACAUUUUUUGAAACCGUUAAUCUUCCUCAUGAUGAUGAUGAAGAACAAGAUUGCUGUCAUAAUGUUUGGAAAAUAAUGUUUGGUGGUGGACAAGGGCAAUGAGGAUACUAUUUUCAGGAAUUAACUGUCUGUAAAUAUAUACGCUAUUCUGAGCCCUCUGUCACUAUUCGGCAAUAAUAGGUCAUCUAAUUUACAUGGUCAUUGUCAAAUAGAACCCCCUUUUUAAGCAUAUGAUAAUGUUAUAUUUUACUGGUAUAUGUCAAGGUCACUGGAUAGCAAAAGCUGAUGAAACUUUCUGAAAAAGAGUAUGCUUUUAUCACCAAACUAUGUUUUCAACAGGAAUCAAUGUGUCAAACUUAUCUCAUCGAUGUAAUAUUAUUAAUCCCUUUUAAUCAAUGGUAAUCACUGUUGAAAUAUGAGGAUUUUGUCUGGAUUAUGUACAUCCUGAUGAAGGCUAGUUGUCAUUUUGUUUGUAAUUUACAUGUGGCAAGGGCAAUGAGGAUACUAUUUUCAGGAAUUAACAAUGUCUGUAAAUAUAUACGCUAUUCUGAGCCCUUUGCCA